This is a non-coding RNA of Brachypodium distachyon (stiff brome), 126 nucleotides long. NCBI's taxonomy places the organism in Eukaryota, Viridiplantae, Streptophyta, Magnoliopsida, Poales, Poaceae. The record is from Rfam.
UUUUUACUCCCUCCGAUCCAUAUUAAUUGUCUCAAAUUUGCCCAAAUAUGGAUGUAUCUAUUCCUAAAAAGCGUCUAGAUACAUGUAAUAUUUUCGACAACUAAUAUGGAUCAGAGGGAGUAUAUU